UUACUGCUGAGGAGUCCCAUAAUAGGACGAAAUGGCCGUUCAGUAC
Molecule: non-coding RNA, 46 nt
Organism: Schistosoma haematobium
Lineage: Eukaryota; Metazoa; Platyhelminthes; Trematoda; Strigeidida; Schistosomatidae
Source: Rfam